This is a long non-coding RNA of Trichoplusia ni (cabbage looper), 1412 nucleotides long. RefSeq lists it as uncharacterized. Lineage: Eukaryota; Metazoa; Arthropoda; Insecta; Lepidoptera; Noctuidae. The transcript is spliced from 2 exons. The record is from RefSeq and is a predicted model, not a curated record.
CCUGUAGCCGCCGACGUUGAUGCCCAUCUUGCCUUGCUUGCUGAGGCAGUAGGACGCGAAGCAGUCGAUGCCCGUCCCGAUCAAGCCAACUGCAAAAUAUAAUCAUGUUAAAUUCUGGUAGUAAAGAGGUUUCUCUUACACAUUAACAUUUAAGCUAACUACUUACUUGUAACUACUAAUGUUAUUUUAUUUUCUAGAAAAAAAUAGACAUGGUGAAUAUAUUGUUUUUAUUAAAAGGACAUCUUAGUAUACAAUAAUAUACUAUUCUCCCUGUUACACAAGUGAAGACUUCAAAAAGGUGCGUUUCGGGCUGUCAAACCGUGGACAUCUUGUCGUGCACGUAGGCGAAUACAAGUUCAUAAAACACGAAUGCUAUAAGAAGAAGGUGCGGUGGACUUGCUGCAAGAGAAUACAACUUGGCUGCCGAGCAAGCAUCACGACGCACGACACGGUCAUCGUCAGGUCAUUUUUGGAUCACAAUCAUUAAAGUUAUAACAAUUUAAGACUACCCUCAUGAUCAAAACAUAUUGUUUGAAAACGGAACUACCGACAUUUCUUUUUUAUUGACGAACUAUAUUGUUAACGUAUUGUGCCUUACUGUUAAAAAUAUGUUAUAUUUGUAAGAGGACCAUGUAGACAUUGUGUACUACUAUAUCUAGUUACAAUAUAUGUAAUAUCGGCCAUAUUUUUUUGGUUAAAAUUAUAACAGGGUAGAGAAGAUUGGUGCCUAAUUGAUUGAUACUUGUUGCAGUUAUACUUUAGAUACGUAUUAAGUUUAUUAGACAUUCAUUGUUGCAACUUAACGACAUUAAAAUUGCUGGUCAAUUACAAAGAAAUAAACUUUACAAAUGUAAUACAAAUCAGAAAAAAUAUUAAAUAAAUAAAUAUAACUGUCACUUUUUCCAAUACAUAAAUACAUUUGUUGCUGAAAUAAAGGUAGUAUUGAUAAACUCGUUUUAAUGUAGCAGAAGAGUAAGCGAGACAGCGUAUUACACGAUGUAGAGCGGCUUCUCGCUAUCACAAUUGCAACAGUCCUAUUUUAUGAGAUGGUUGAAGGACAAUAUCAGUUUUAUGCAAUCUUACCGUGUGUAUAUAGCUUUGGUUUGUAGUCCAAGCGAAAAAUAAUCUUGAAUCUUAUAGUAUUAAGUUUAUUUUACAUUCCUGUAUCGUAUUUUUAAGUUUAAUCAUUUAUUGUAUAAUUUUUCUUUAAUUAUUAAGUUUUCUGUUUAUUUAGUAUUAAGUGCCUUGAUCUUGUUAAAUUAAGUCUUAAUAAAGCCCCAUGCAUUGGAUGCGUUAUGAGCUUUAAAUUAGCGUAAAAUUAUUAAAAUGUCAGUUUAGUUAGUAAGUGACACUUGUAUAUUGAAUAUUUUUGUAUGUUGACACAGUUUGUAAUAAAAGUACAUAUUUUGGGA